AUCCGGCUGGUGAGUCACAACUAAGACGAAACGAGCGUCCUGGAU
This is a non-coding RNA of Schistosoma curassoni, 45 nucleotides long. Lineage: Eukaryota; Metazoa; Platyhelminthes; Trematoda; Strigeidida; Schistosomatidae. The record is from Rfam.